AACGAACGCUGGCGGCAGGCUUAACACAUGCAAGUCGAGCGCCCCGCAAGGGGAGCGGCAGACGGGUGAGUAACGCGUGGGAAUCUACCGUACCCUACGGAAUAGCUCCGGGAAACUGGAAUUAAUACCGUAUACGCCCUACGGGGGAAAGAUUUAUCGGGGUAUGAUGAGCCCGCGUUGGAUUAGCUAGUUGGUGGGGUAAAGGCCUACCAAGGCGACGAUCCAUAGCUGGUCUGAGAGGAUGAUCAGCCACAUUGGGACUGAGACACGGCCCAAACUCCUACGGGAGGCAGCAGUGGGGAAUAUUGGACAAUGGGCGCAAGCCUGAUCCAGCCAUGCCGCGUGAGUGAUGAAGGCCCUAGGGUUGUAAAGCUCUUUCACCGGUGAAGAUAAUGACGGUAACCGGAGAAGAAGCCCCGGCUAACUUCGUGCCAGCCGCCGCCGUAA
This 447-nucleotide ribosomal RNA is filed under the name uncultured bacterium. RNAcentral describes it as "partial 16S ribosomal RNA". It matches the Rfam family "Bacterial small subunit ribosomal RNA", at positions 29 to 523 of the family's 1533-position model. The record is from RNAcentral.